Gossypium arboreum is the source of this 148-nucleotide non-coding RNA. NCBI's taxonomy places the organism in Eukaryota, Viridiplantae, Streptophyta, Magnoliopsida, Malvales, Malvaceae. The record is from Rfam.
UGUUUAAAAUUUCAUCUAUUUCAACUAUUAAAAACUAACAUGACUGACAGAGUAACUAAAUAGUGCACAUAGCAUGCCACGUGUACCUUAUACUGACAUACAAGGACCAUUUAAUUUUUAACGGUAGAAAUGAAAGAAAUUUUUAACA